This 74-nucleotide ribosomal RNA is filed under the name Fagopyrum dibotrys. RNAcentral's name for it is "partial 26S ribosomal RNA". The record is from RNAcentral. Lineage: Eukaryota; Viridiplantae; Streptophyta; Magnoliopsida; Caryophyllales; Polygonaceae.
AGCUCAACCCGUAAAACCGGAGGGCCCCGGCCUUCCGAACCGUGCGACUCUUCUAGAGCAGAGCGAAUCCGAGC